CGUCCUGUGUUAGUACCACCCCCUGCUGCUAAUCAGUGUGUGUGGCUAUGCUAACAGGACAGAGAAAGUGUAUCAGAGUCUGAAGAGGCUCCAGAGUCUCUCCUGUUGUCUCUAUAUGAACUGAUACAACAAUCACAA
Molecule: small nucleolar RNA, 138 nt
Organism: Hemibagrus wyckioides
Lineage: Eukaryota; Metazoa; Chordata; Actinopteri; Siluriformes; Bagridae
Product: small nucleolar RNA SNORA29
Exons: 1
Source: RefSeq, a predicted model, not a curated record